GAUGAAGAACGCAGCGAAAUGCGAAAAGUAAUAUGAAUUGCAGAAUUCAGUGAACCAUCGAAUCUUUGAACGCACAUUGCGCCCGCUGGAACUCCGGCGGGCACGCCUGUCCGAGCGUCAUUUCAACCCUCAGGCCCCCCUUCGCGGGCGGGCCUGGUGUUGGGGCCCGGCCGCUACCCUGCGGCCGUCCCCUAAAUCCAGUGGCGGCCUCGCCGUGAUCCCUUGCGUAGUAAUGCACCUCGCACCGGAGAGCGCCGUGGCCACGCCGUAAAACCCCCAAUUUUCAAUGGUUGACCUCGGAUCAGGUGGGAAUACCCGCUGAACUUAAGCAUAUCAAUAAGCGGAGGA
RNAcentral lists this unclassified non-coding RNA (348 nucleotides) under soil metagenome. Its description in RNAcentral is "partial contains 5.8S ribosomal RNA, internal transcribed spacer 2, and large subunit ribosomal RNA". The stretch from base 1 to 120 matches the Rfam family "5.8S ribosomal RNA", at positions 35 to 154 of the family's 154-position model. The record is from RNAcentral.